RNAcentral lists this ribosomal RNA (35 nucleotides) under Durusdinium sp. D1. RNAcentral's name for it is "partial 5.8S ribosomal RNA". The record is from RNAcentral. Lineage: Eukaryota; Dinophyceae; Suessiales; Symbiodiniaceae.
CGCGCAUUGCACUCUUGGGACUUCCUGAGAGUAUG